AUUGAACGCUGGCGGCAUGCCUUACACAUGCAAGUCGAACGGUAGAGUAGCAAUACUUGAGAGUGGCGAACGGGUGAGUAAUAUAUCGGAACGUGCCCAGUCGUGGGGGAUAACGUAGCGAAAGCUACGCUAAUACCGCAUACGAUCUACGGAUGAAAGCGGGGGAGUCGCAAGACCUCGCGCGAUUGGAGCGGCCGAUAUCAGAUUAGGUAGUUGGUGAGGUAAAGGCUCACCAAGCCGACGAUCUGUAGCUGGUCUGAGAGGACGACCAGCCACACUGGGACUGAGACACGGCCCAGACUCCUACGGGAGGCAGCAGUGGGGGAAUUUUGGACAAUGGGC
This 342-nucleotide ribosomal RNA is filed under the name uncultured bacterium. RNAcentral's name for it is "bacterial SSU rRNA". It matches the Rfam family "Bacterial small subunit ribosomal RNA", at positions 30 to 376 of the family's 1533-position model. The record is from RNAcentral.